Dama dama (fallow deer) is the source of this 1598-nucleotide long non-coding RNA. RefSeq lists it as uncharacterized. The transcript is spliced from 2 exons. The record is from RefSeq and is a predicted model, not a curated record. NCBI's taxonomy places the organism in Eukaryota, Metazoa, Chordata, Mammalia, Artiodactyla, Cervidae.
GUGAGAGGCGACUGCUUUUCAGAAGGUAGAUCUUUUCUGUCAUCAAUAAACUGUCUUUUCCUUGCUGUCAGCCCUGUAUUCUGGCACUAUAUGCUCCUUGUUCUAUUGGCUGCUAACAUUUCUGUAAAAAGAGAUCUAACUGUCAAGAGUUCAAGAUUCCAGUGGUCUGUGAAGUCCCACCACCGAUCUACUCUCCAGAGUUGUGUUUGAAUCAGAGUUUGUGGGGUUUCCAUGAUGGCUCAUGGUAAAGAAUGCUGCCAAUGCAGGGGACAUGACUUCAAUCCUGGUCCAGGAGGAUCCCACGUGCGUCAGAGGAACUAAGCCCUUGCACCACAAUCAUUGAGCCUGUGGUCUGGAGCCUGGGGUCCACAGAUGCUGAGCCCACGCUCUGCCACUUCGGCAGCCCAUGACAGGAGAAGCCGCUGUGAGAGGAAGGCCGUGCCCCGCAACCAGACAGUGCGCCCCGCUCACCGCAACCAGAGCAAAGCCCGUGUAGCAGCAAGGACCCAGCACAGCCCCACCCAAGAAAAGAGCCUGUGCAAGACCAGCCGAAGCCCACUCCGUGUUGUCCCUCCCCACCCCGUGGCCUGAGCAGUGGGCGCUGCAGGCCAGCCCUCGGGGGCACUGCGGAGUGGGCAGCGAGCUCGCCUGCCCGCCUGUGGACUAGGCCACCACCUCAGAUGGAGCAGCCUUGCACUCAGUUGCUGACGUCACCCAUUCACCGUGACGUCCUCCUUGGUCAGAGCCUGCUCACUGCCACCUGCCUUUCCCUUUUAAUCUCUUCAGAAUGUGCAGACGUGGCGAUCAGACACGACCUCCCGAGUGUUCACAGGAAACGGUGCUGCGCACGGGCAGAGCUGCCCGGGUGAGCAUCCGCCAUCAGACCCCCCGACUGAGCUCCGUUUGUGCCGGGAAUGGGUCGUCUCCAGAAUGCAGAGGAGAGUCUGUCACGCAGACCGAUGGUGAGAAGUUCACAGGAAUCUUGGCUCUUGGAAGCUGCCUGGGUCUGGUUAGUGGAGGCUCCAGGAGUGAAAUGGCCGACCACAGGCGGCGGCAGCAAACUGCCGUACAGCUCGCUGCCGAGGGUUCCUGGAGGAAGCAACGGUGACAGAGCUGGGUUUUCAGUGGCAACAAUGGCAUGAGCUGUCGACAGAAGUUUCUCCCAGGUUCUCUUUGAUUCCUAAUGUAGACGCCCUCACUUUUCCUUCUGUAGAUGUACUGCUCCACUGGGAAGUAAAGGCUGGUGCCAUCUAAGGGCUCCUGCUGCAAGGAACGUGAUGAUGUCCCCCUGCAUUUGCCGGGCAUCAAGGACCCAGAAUAGUGUAAAAGAUUCACUUCAAGGUAUGACAAGAAUCCAGACAGUGCCAUAUGGACCACUGUCUGGGUAGUGUGGGAAAAGCCUGAGAAGAUGUUUUAGAGAAGCCAGAUAAUCUUUCUGAUAAAAGAAACUUGACUUUCAUUCAGUUGGUAGAAAUAACACGAUGAGCUUUACUCUUUAGAGGUUUAACAUUUUUUUAAAUAAUAUUUUGACAUUUAUGAGAAACUUAUAAUACAUGUACAAGGUUCAAGAACCUAAAAAUAUAAAAUAUUUUAUAUUA